GUGCGGCGACCGUGCCACCGGCUACCACUUCCACGUCAUGACGUGCGAGGGCUGCAAGGGCUUCUUCAGGCGCUCCAUCAACAAGGGCGUCCGCUUCACGUGCCCCUUCGCGCGGAGCUGCCCCGUCACCAAGGCCAAGCGGCGGCAGUGCCAGGCCUGCCGCCUCCAGAAGUGCCUCGACGUGGGCAUGAGGAAGGACAGUGAG
Long non-coding RNA from Nothoprocta perdicaria, 205 nucleotides. RefSeq lists it as uncharacterized. The transcript has 2 exons. The record is from RefSeq and is a predicted model, not a curated record. Lineage: Eukaryota; Metazoa; Chordata; Aves; Tinamiformes; Tinamidae.